GCGACCGACACAACACUAAGACGGAGCGUCAAGUUGCUCAUUGCUGUCUGUGAAUCAUAUCAACAAAUAAGUGUUGAUCUGGAGCUGUGGUCACAUGAGCGACUUUUGGAGAGGUUGGGAAUUGUCUAUGGUGACAAAGUGCAUAUUUGGAGCAAAGUGUGUGUGUAUCCGAAUCCCAGAGCUCCAGUGUGCAUUUUUACAGUCUCCGUCUGCUGCCUUUCUGUCUCUCUGCAACCUUAAGAACUCAGUGCCAGCUAUUCCACUUGUCAAGCGCUGCCUGAUGUGGUGGCGCUAACAGCGCCUCAUAUGCUUUCUCAUCAAACCACACGAUUAGUCAGUGGCAGAUCAAAACCAAGCCAAGCCAAGACCUUGCUCUGUAAAUGCCACACAUGUCGUGACCACCAUCCACAACGUUUUAGAGAGUGUAAGCAGUUUCAGUAGGGAAGCCCAGACUUUCCAGUCCCCGGCCACCUCCUCCAGCUCCACCGGGAGGACAUCAAGGCGUUCCCAGGCCAGCUGUGAGCCUUCUCCCAGCUGGGCAUGCCCGGAACACCUCACCAGUAGGCAUCCGGACGAGAUGGCUCCAAUCGAUGUGAAGGAGCAGCAAAAUACACGAACAGCAGUGCCAGUUAUAUGCAAGAUAUUUUUUUGCUCUGCUGAAUGAAUGAAUGAAUUUAACUGCCAAGAAGGAGGAUUCUAUACCCAAACUCACUAGGGGGUGAUCAGCACGAGGCACACAUGCCGGCAAAUACUGUAACUACUUCUUAAGCGAAUCUCGUGUUUCCGGACAAAAAAUUUACUUUUUAAUUAAUUUACGGGAGCGAAGCGAAUUUACAUGGAAUGCCACAAACCGAUAGUCACCUGAACAGGGGAGCCUCAGGAUUCAAAUCUGUUGAAAAAGCAGAAAUUUUGCAUAUAACUUUAUGGAAGUAUGGUACAACAGUUUAACCAAAAUUUGAAUACAAAUGUCUAAAGAUCAGCUGAUCAUCUCUCCCUCACUUCCCACUGUUUUUUGUAUUUUCUUUGGUUUUUAGUGUACUGAAUACCUUCUCACAUAAGUGAUAUUGCGCCAACAAAAUGUAAUGAAGAAAUAAAAGCAAACAAAUUGUAUCUCGUAGUUCUGAAGGUCCACCGUACUUGUCUUA
This is a long non-coding RNA of Dunckerocampus dactyliophorus (ringed pipefish), 1145 nucleotides long. RefSeq lists it as uncharacterized. The record is from RefSeq and is a predicted model, not a curated record. The transcript is spliced from 5 exons. Lineage: Eukaryota; Metazoa; Chordata; Actinopteri; Syngnathiformes; Syngnathidae.